UCCGUAGGUGAACCUGCGGAAGGAUCAUUAAUGAAAUGAAUGUAGAGUCGGUUGUAGCUGGGUCUUUUAAUCGAGGCCAUGUGCACACCUUCUCUUUCAUCCACUCACACCUGUGCACCUGUUUAGACGGUCGAAGGAAAAAGUCUUUCUCGCGAGAGAGAGGCCGGCUCCUUUUCCCGUCCAAUACAUAAAAUCUUAUAUAUUUAAUCAGAAUGUAAUCGAUGUAAACGCAUCUAUAAACUAAGUUUCAACAACGGAUCUCUUGGCUCUCGCAUCGAUGAAGAACGCAGCGAAAUGCGAUAAGUAAUGUGAAUUGCAGAAUUCAGUGAAUCAUCGAAUCUUUGAACGCACCUUGCGCUCCUUGGUAUUCCUCGGAGCACGCCUGUUUGAGUAUCAUGAAAUUCUCAAAGCAAGUCUUUUGUUAAUUCAACUGGCUUUUGCUUUGGAUUUGGAGGUUUUGCAGAUUCACGUCUGCUCCUCUUAAAUGCAUUAGCUGGAUCUCUAUAAAACCGGUUCCACUCGGCGUGAUAAGUAUCACUCGCUGAGGACACUCUUGCAAAAGGGUGGCCGGAUUCAUGGACGAACCGCUUCUAACGGUCUAUUAGAUUAGACAAACACACUUUAUGAUCUGAUCUCAAAUCAGGUGGGACUACCCGCUGAACUUAAGCAUAUCAAUAAGCGGAGGA
RNAcentral lists this ribosomal RNA (686 nucleotides) under Ceratobasidium cereale. RNAcentral describes it as "eukaryotic LSU rRNA". The stretch from base 243 to 396 matches the Rfam family "5.8S ribosomal RNA". Lineage: Eukaryota; Fungi; Basidiomycota; Agaricomycetes; Cantharellales; Ceratobasidiaceae. The record is from RNAcentral.